CGGAUCAGGCACUGCUGUGGCUGUGGUGUAGGCUGGCGGCUACAGCCCCGAUUCAACCCCUAGCCUGGGAACUUCCAUAUGCCAAGAGCAUGGCCUGAAAAAAGGAAAAAAAAAAAAAAAAAGAUGAGAUGAGAAAAGAUGCAAGGUCAGGAGUCCUACGGUAUCCUGCAGACUCUGACUUUCCCUCUGCCCUCGAGGAUCUACUAAAUAUUCACCUCCACAGUUGUUUUCCGAGCUCAAGGGAUUCCCUCUUAAUCAAUAAACAUUUCACAACCACACAAACACCAUUAGCUGAAAAUAUUAUUUUGGCUUAGUACGUGUCCUUGUUACAUCGUGGUUUAUAUCUGGAAAGGCCUCCGUAUGAUCAUUAUACAUGGAAGCAGUGAUGUCUCGCUAAUGCAGCAUCACAGGGACGGCUCCUGUACGGGGGGGCUCCAGGCCAUAGCAGUGACCUUCCUGGAUAGAUGAAAAUGACCUCCCUAAAGACCAGCCCUUUGAAAAGUUUCACCAUUUUUCCUGGAACUCUUAGUUUUCAAAACCAUAACAAAAACUUCAAUAUUUAUGUAAUUAUCAAUGGAUUUUUUAAAUUCAUUGAAUUAAAAAACAUUAAUUUUAAAAAAUUGGAUUUUUUUUAAAUAAAAAUAUAGAGAUGCCUGCCUCUUUAUAAUGUGGAAAUCAAUUUAGCUUUUUCAUCGCCUUCCAGAGCAUCAUGAAGAGAAGGCAUAAUUGAACAUUGUAAUAAUUUGGUACUAGUUUUGCUUUACUCAGCAUUAGAUCACCAGAUGACACUUUGUGCCAUUAUUUCACCCAUUGGUCCCCCUUUUUUUUUUUGGCUUUUUAGGGCCACACCUACAGCAUAUGGAGGUUCCCAGGCUAGGGGUCGAAUUGGAGCUACAGCUACCGACCUACACCACAGUCAUAGUAAUGCCAGAUCCAAGCCACAUCUGCAAACUACACCACAGCUCAUGGCAACGCCAGAUCCUUAACCCACUGACCAAAGCCAGGGAUCGAACUCGUAUCCUCAUGGAUCCUAGUCGAGUUCGUUAACCACUGAGCCACAAAGAGAACUCCCAUUGGUCCCUUCUAAUGCACAGCUUCCAAGCUGCUCCAGACCAGCACACCAGGAGAUCAAACUGAGGAGUCAGAAACGACCUUGUCCACUGCUGGUGCUGGUGGGAAGAUAAACUGGCACAGCUGCUCUGGGUGGUUCCCCCCAAAAUAAAAAUAGAAUUAUCAUAUGAUCCAGCAAUCCCACUUCUGGGUAUAUACCCAAAAGAAUUUAAAGCAUGGUCUCAAUGAGAUUUUGUGUGCUCCUGUUCACAGCAGCACAGUUCACCAUAGCCAAAAGGUGGGAACAGCUGGAGGGUCUGUCGACUCUUGGUGGGUAAACAAAGUCUGGUGUAUACCUACAGUGGAGUAGUAUUCAGCCUUAAAAAGGAAGUGUUGUCAGAGUUCCCGGUGUGGCUCAGCGGAAAUGAGGCUGACUGGUAUCCGUGAGGACACAGGUUCGAUCCCUGGCCUUGUUCAGCGAGUUAAGGAUCGGGCAUUGCCGUGAGCUGUGGUGUAGGUCCCAGAUGUGGCUCAGAUCCUGCGUUGCUGUGGCUGUGGCAGAGGCCAGCGGCCGAAGCUCCAAUUCGGCCCCUAGCCUGGGAUGCUCUAUAUGCCACUAGUGCAGCUUUAAAAAAAAGGAAGUAUUUUCCCCCAGAGUCCCCACGUUGUCCUGGACAGAGUGAGUUUCCUUCCUGAGGUCAUUUCCACCCAGGCCACGACCUGUACCCGUCAUGGCCCACCCCUCACCCCCGCCCUGCCAUCUCCCAGCUCCCAAGGAGGUCAAAAGAGGAGCGAAGGGAACGGAAGAGAUGGGGAAGGGAAAAGUGGCUCAGGGGACAGCCCCCCUCUGCGCCGGGCGGGACGACAGCUGGAUCCGUGGGCACGUGCACCUAUAUGCUAUGAUCCCAUUUUACAGAUGACGGAAAGGCGGCUUCCAGUUUCCAAAUGCCAAAAUGAGUGGAGUGUGAGAAACAAGAAAGUGUUGGGAGUUGGUUACUCCCAGAUUUCUAGAGAAGUGAACCUGUGUCCCAGUGCUGCAGAGACAUGGCAGAUCGUGCUGUGGCACGGCAGGAACUCCCAGGCCUAUUCUUUUUUUUUUUCUUUUUUUUGUCUUUUGUCUUUUGUUGUGUUGUUGUUGUUGUUGCUAUUUCUUGGGCCGCUCCCGCGGCAUAUGGAGGUUCCCAGGCCAGCGGCUACAGCUCCAAUUUGACUCCUAGCCUGGAAACAUCCAUAUGCCAUGAGAGCGGCCCUAGAAAAGGCAAAAGGACAAAACAAAACAAAACAAAACAAAGCACAAGAGACAGUGGCUGGCUCCCUUACUAUGGCAAACUCAGAAUAAUGGCCCAUGGGUCGAGUCAACCUACGCCACAGCCACGGCAGCACUGGAUCCGAGCCACAUCCGCCACCUACAACACAGCUGGUGGCAACGCCCAGAUACUUAACCUACCUAGAAAGGCCAGGGGUCGAACCCACAUCCUCAUGGACACUAUGUCAGGUUCUUAACCACUGAGCCGCAACAGAAACUCCCGGCUUUUCUCAUUUUAUUGGUCUUCCUUUGUUUCCACAGAUGUUUACUAUAUAAUUAAAAAAUGCUAUUCAACCUUUUGCAACACUUAAUAACUCCCCAGACAUAACUGUUACAACCCUGGCUUACUAGCAAGACCACCGGCCUCGCCCGUCACCUCUCCCACUGGUUGUCAUGACAUUAACCAGCCAUCUGGCAAGUGACAGGAUCACCACGUGCCAUAUAGUUCUUUCAUUAUUAUAGCACUGAAAUUUUUAACAGUGGGCAAUCAUUUGAAAAAUUCUUUUAGAACAAUUCUUUUGCCACUUAGACUCUUCUAUGGUACUUACUUCAGAAACUGAGGAAGAGCAAGUAUUAAUUUGUUCUUAUGUUCGUGGAAGGUUGAGUGGCCGUCAUUGAUGACCUCCAAACAAUAGCAACGUUUGUACAUCCUACUUGAGAAUGUACAUGACUCCGAGCUCGCACCGCUCACUGCACGACAGACCAAUAAGCCAAGAGAUGACAUGUUGGGGCGAGGAAUAGUGACUUUAUUCAGAAAGCCAGCAGACCAAAAAGACGGUGGACUCGUGUCCCAAAGAACCAGCUUGCCUGAGUUAGCAUUCAGCCUUCUUUUAUACUAAAAGGGGAGGGCGCAACGUCAGCCACUUCCUGGUUCCCAUCGACCUCUGGAAGGGAUGUGUUAAUGUCUUCCUUCCCGCAGCCACUCACAGGUGGACCUGGUCAGGAUGUUUCCUGGGAGCUGAACAAGGGUAUUUUAGCUUCAUGCUCAUUACUUUGGGAGGCAGGGUUCCCAGAGAUGGGCCAUGAUUAUAAUUUAAGCUUACGGGCAACAGCCCUUUAGUGAUUAACUUGUAAUAGAACACAAAGCUUCUUGCCUCUUACACAGGUUAGGAACUCUUUCCGUUUGCCUGGAUCUGAAUAACCACCAGCUGCACGUCGGAGGUAAGAAAGUGUUUGAUAAAGCUGGGUCUAUGAUCGUGCUGAAUCGUCAUAAAGGAAAAUAUUUUUUAAAAUAGGCGCCACACUUUUCUCCUUGUACCUCCACAUAUAUGACUUCUCCCAGUUCUGUUAGCAGUAUCCAUUUGUCUCAGGCAGGGUGGUGCUUCUUAAGGAAGGAAGGUAAAGAGAAAAUGUUAUGUUUUUGCAGUCUAGCCAUUGCUUUUGAGAAAUUUGGAGGGGGGAUCUUUUUAGGGCCAUACCCUCAGCGUAUGGAGGUUCUCAGGCUAGGGGUCAAAUCAGAGCUGUAGCCGCUGGCCUACACCACAGCCAUAGCAACACAGGAUCCUUAACCCACUAAGCGAGGCCAGGGAUUGAAACUUCGUCCUCAUGGAUGCUAGUCAGAUUCAUUUCUGCUGAGCGGGAACUCCGCUUUUGAGAAUUUUUAAGAUCACAGACUUGCAAAGAGACAGAUGCUUUAUAUUUCCAGGGGCAAAUCGGGCUGGCUUGUGGAUUAUUACAAGAACAUAAUUUUUAACCCUGAUGAUCAUUUGAAAAAUGUAAGAGGAGUUCCCGUCGUGGCUCAGUGGUUAAUAAAUCCGACCCCGGAACCAUGAGGUUGAGGGUUUGAUCCCUGGCCUCGCUCAGUGGGUUGGGGAUCCGGCGUUGCCGUGAGCUGUGGUGUAGGUUGCAGACGCGGCUCGGAUCCCGCGUUGCUGUGGCUCUGGCAUAAGGCCAGCGGCUACAGCUCCGAUUCCACCCCUAGCCUGGGAACCUCAACACUGAAUGUGUUAGUUAUGUUAUUUUAAGGAAGUAAAGCAAACAUAUCUUUCAGAAACGUGAUUGAUUCUCACAUAGGGCUCAUUUUGAAUCCAUGCGUUAAGGCUCAUCAGCCCAGGUGAUAGGCUGUCAUUUCUGGUUCUUUAUCAAUUUGGCUCCCUCUAGUGGUCAGUGUGUGAGUUUACUAAAAUUCUCCAGUAGGUUCUCAUUCUUUAAAACGUCCUUUAAAAAACAAAGCAGCGUCAUUUCUUUUGUUUAGGGGGAACUGAUUGACUGAAAUUAAGAGAAUAUGUAUAUUUUUAGCAAAUAUGAUAAUCAUUUUUUGAAGAAUUACUAAGAUUUUAUAUAGGGUUGACAGAUUUAGCCAAUAAAAAAUACAAGGUACUCAGUACAAUUUAAAUUUCAGAUUAAGAAAAUUUUUUAAUAAUAAAUAUGCUCCAAAUAC
Molecule: long non-coding RNA, 4736 nt
Filed under: Sus scrofa (pig)
Lineage: Eukaryota; Metazoa; Chordata; Mammalia; Artiodactyla; Suidae
Description: lncRNA (ENSSSCG00005026905.1)
Source: RNAcentral